Molecule: ribosomal RNA, 207 nt
Filed under: uncultured Aminivibrio sp.
Lineage: Bacteria; Thermotogati; Synergistota; Synergistia; Synergistales; Aminobacteriaceae
Description: partial 16S ribosomal RNA
Rfam family: Bacterial small subunit ribosomal RNA
Source: RNAcentral
CGCGCAGGCUGUGCUGCAAGUCAGCUGUGAAAUAUCUGGGCUUAACCUGGAUAUGCGGUUGAGACUGCAGUGCUGGAGUGCUGUAGAGGCAAGUGGAAUUCCCAGUGUAGCGGUGAAAUGCGUAGAUAUUGGGAAGAACACCGGUGGCGAAGGCGACUUGCUGGGCAGCAACUGACGCUGAGGCGCGAAAGCCAGGGGAGCAAACGG